RNAcentral lists this long non-coding RNA (1089 nucleotides) under Cricetulus griseus (Chinese hamster). RNAcentral describes it as "lncRNA (ENSCGRG00015032357.1)". The record is from RNAcentral. Lineage: Eukaryota; Metazoa; Chordata; Mammalia; Rodentia; Cricetidae.
UCUUUGGUGCCCAAACCCAUCCCCUCUUUAUGUCCCCAGACAGCAGCAGAGGGGGAUGGGUUUGGGAGGAGCCUUAGUUUCCCACUGACAUUAGUGAAGUUUUCUGUGGAGGUCAGCAGGGGGCUCCAUUCUCUGUGUUUGUUAAUGUCCUGCAGCGAUGAUAGAUAGAUACAGGUGUUGGGAGAAAGGCGGUUGUGGGGGACUGGCUGUGACCACCAUGGAAAACAGAAAACACCCAUCUUCCAAGAAGCCAAAAGACACCGAACAUGUAGAUGCCUAAAGAAGAGAGGAUAGCUAUCCAGAAAGAACCAUCAAAUAAAGAAGACUCUGAUGUACUCAUGUGAACAAAAAAAUUCCUAGCAGUAAUCUUUGAACUCUCUGGAAAGAAGAUGGGGUCCCAUUUCAUCGAUUCCACUUGAUUCAACUUGAUGUCUUUGAACUUGCAAACACCACCCUAAAACUGGUUUGGGGCUAUACUGCCCUAGACAACUCCAGAGUAGCUAGCUGAUAUGGUGCACCUUCUUAUUACACCCUGGCCAGAGCUUCAGGAUCCCAUGGAGUCAUCAUCCCAUUUCAACAGGAAGUAAUCCUAAGAAAACAACGCCUCCUUUCCCUACUGUUGGCAUUAAGGAACAAUCCUGACUGGCAACAUGCUUUUCACCAGCCAAACCACGUGUGUCCAGAUCUUAGAGGAAAAUGAAAUAAUGCCUCUAGGUUUGGAGGAACUGCUCGAUUAGCCUAGACUUCUCUAUCAAAUAGUGGUGAAAAUAAAAUGAAGGCAGGUACGAAAGAAUUUCCCUGGGAUGCUCACCAGCUUCUUAGGAAGUACCUUGGGGAUACAUGCUGUAGCAAAACUCUGGAAGUGCUCCCUGAAAGAGGAAGGUGCAGAGCACAGGAGACGCGAUCUCAUUCGGGGGAUGAGUAGUAGUUGUCUGGCCCGAGAUGACUCUGUCAGUGAUCCCAGCACCUGGAAAGCAACUGGUGGACAAAGGCACGGAAGAGGAGCCGUUAGCCUAAAUCUCCUUUUGUACCCCAGAUUCGUGUUCACUAUGACUUUUGUUUUGUUUUUAAGAUUUACUUUUGUUAUUU